UCCAUAUAGUACCUGUAAUCGUAUUGGUUUAUUUUUAACGGUCUUGUUUAAAAAAUUCCAUCAACGAUAUUUCUUUACUACAUAUAUAUGUAUAUACGAGCAUAGAAUGCCAAUAGGAAUGAGACGACAGUUUAUCGAAUUCAAAUACAGUUCAUUACGAUUUUCAUGAAAUGCAUUAGGUAUAACGUUUCAAGGAUAAGGGUAAAAUAAUGUUCAUCUCCGUGAUGUUCUUGCACGUAUGUACAUACAUACAUACUGUGAGCUACAGAUGGCAGUAACGUCUCCAUUACUUGAUCAUCGAUUUCGUUCAAAUAUUAUAUUAUACGUGUUCCCGUAAGGGGAUAAUGAAGAUAAAAUUGAGACAAAAGGCGAUAACGUAAGUAAUAUAAGAACGCAGCUUACGAUGCUUAUAAAAUAAAUUCAUUCGAUGUUAUAUGCAAGCAUGUUUAUAUACGUGUCUUGCGACAAUUUGCAUACGAAUAGUAAAAGUCAAUGAAAAAUGCGAAUCUUGGGAUUCUAUCACA
Molecule: long non-coding RNA, 524 nt
Organism: Bombus pascuorum
Lineage: Eukaryota; Metazoa; Arthropoda; Insecta; Hymenoptera; Apidae
Exons: 2
Source: RefSeq, a predicted model, not a curated record